RNA transcript from Salvia splendens (bonfire salvia), 1672 nucleotides. It is a transcript of the gene named glycosyltransferase BC10, with no coding region annotated. The transcript is spliced from 13 exons. The record is from RefSeq and is a predicted model, not a curated record. NCBI's taxonomy places the organism in Eukaryota, Viridiplantae, Streptophyta, Magnoliopsida, Lamiales, Lamiaceae.
UUUUAACUACUCCUAACAAACUAACCCUGAGAAUUGAGAUCCUCGAGAAAACAGACAUGGGCACUCAAAGAUUGACUUUGGCAGUGAUCAUCAAAAAUCCAUUAAACGACGCCGAAUUCAUACUCACGAAGCAAACCCUACCUCCCAAAUUCCAUGACUCCGAGUAUGAUUCAUAUCAAGAUUCCGAUCUUUGGGACUUGCCCUAUGCACAAUUAUCACUUGUUGAUCGCUCCUUGACUGCUAGUCAACCUCAAUCUGAAGUUGAGGAUAAUUCUUCCGCGGAAUUUUUGAAUCAGUUUGAUGUUGCUUCCGCUGUUGAUCAGGCGCUCAAACAAGUGGGAUAUGAUAAGACCACAAACGUAAAGUGGAACCUCUUCAAGGUUAUAGAGGAGCCUGAAUUUGGACCGGGGCCUCCAGUCAAGACUCUGUAUAUUGCCGGAGGAUCAGAAAUUAAUGAUUGGAAGUUAGGAGAUUGCUCAAAGUGGAUGAGCACCCAAAGUUGUGCAGAUCAGCUUCUGGAAGUGAAACCUCAUAACGAUCGUAUAGGGCCAUUAGUUGUUGUCGGUCUUCUGAAUGAUUCACUUCAAACUAGGAACUUGCAUACUCCUUCCACCUUGAGAUGUCAGGAAUACCCUCCUGGCGUUAAUAUUGUUCCCAUGAAAAGCAGAACAGCAAAGCCUUACCACACUACAAACUUGAUUGUCUUUGUGCCUGGUACAAGUGAUGAUGACUUUGGUGGAGGUGAUUUUCUUGCACGAGGAGAUGCUCUCAUUGUAGAUCCUGGAUGCAGCUCCAUUAUGCACAAAGAGCUGGAGCAAAUUGUUACUGCACUCCCACGAAAAUUGUUUGUGUUUGUCACCCACCACCAUCACGAUCAUGUGGAUGGUCUCUCGGUUGUCCAGAAGUCCAAUCCCGAAGCUACUCUUUUGGCCCAUGAGAACACAGCUAGAAGAAUUGGUAAAGGUGAUUGGUCUCUGGGACAUAUUCCAGUAGUGGGAUCUGAAGAAAUCUGUAUUGGUGGUCAACGCUUGAGAUUCAUAUCUGCUCCGGGUCAUACGGACGGCCAUGUUGCAUUACUUCAUGUUGCUACUAACUCGUUGAUAGUCGGGGAUCAUUGUGUAGGCCAAGGAAGUGCACUCUUGGAUAUUUCGGCUGGUGGGAAUAUGAGUGAUUACUUUGACACGACAUACAAGUUUAUGGAGUUGUCUCCGCACGUUUUAAUACCAAUGCAUGGUAGAGUUAACAUGUGGCCGAAGCAUAUGCUCUGUGGGUAUCUCAAAAACCGCAGAAUGAGAGAAUCUAGCAUCUUAAAGGCUAUAGAAGAAGGAGCGAAAACAUUGUUUGACAUUGUAAAACAUACAUAUCGUGAAGUUGACCGCAGUCUAUGGAUCCAUGCUGCAUCAAACGCGAGACUCCAUGUUGAUCAUCUAGCCCUGCAUAAUAAAUUGCCACAGGACUUUUCCCUAGAAUAUUACAGAGGCAGUGUAGCUGAAUUUGCAGCAAGUAUGGAUAAAAUAUGAGCACGGCGAAAGCUACUUGUUUAAGACCUUGCCGACCUUAUAUACUCUUAGGCCCUCGACUCGUGCACUCAAGAUCCUCUAUUCCAAGAACAAAUUCAUUCUCAAAACAACCCUCAUUAAUUCCCUCCAAAAAAAUCAUGGUUGUAAAUGAA